UUGCUGGAAAAUUGCUGGGAAGCGAGUUGCUCGGGAGAUUGUGAUCUGGGACUCGUGGAAGAAGCUGGAUGCGGGGUGAAUCGUGAUCACGGAAGCUGGGAUUUCGGGAUAGCUGGUGGCAGAGCCUUUGCUGGGAGUCGGAUGGACGCGGAUCGAAGGAUGGGGCGCGGAUGAUGCCUCGCAAGAUGCUGGAAAAGGCUGGAUUUGUGCUGUGGAUGCGGGAUCUUCGCGGAUUGCACGCGGA
RNAcentral lists this long non-coding RNA (244 nucleotides) under Phoenix dactylifera (date palm). RNAcentral's name for it is "long non-coding RNA (PDAC_LNC011251)". The record is from RNAcentral. Lineage: Eukaryota; Viridiplantae; Streptophyta; Magnoliopsida; Arecales; Arecaceae.